ACCAGAUGCAAUACAAUGGCACUUCUAGUGGGGUGUGAGGAGCACUAUCAGAAGAACAGAAAACAGGAUCCUACUCAUACAGAACAAUUAAAUAACUAAGUGCUAAGGGAAAGUGAUAUGGAGGGGGGUGAUAGUCUGCUUCAUUGUGAAGAAAAGACUGUCUAGACAAUAUACCUAAGUUCAGCAACCCUAGAAUUAAGUGAAAACUUUGGAUUCCAAAGGAAAUGAGUGCUUACAUCAGGCAAAAACCAAAAAAUAAGUUGUACAAAAUAAUAUAAAAAGAAUGAAAAACAGCUGCAAAAUUUACCAAUACAUAAAUCUGGAAGUAUUGCACUGUCCCAUUUCCAUAAUCCACCAGGUGCAUAUCCUUUUCUUUAUGUGGAUAGGAAGAAUCAACACAUUCUCAAGCUCAUAGAUUUUAGGAGAAGAUUUAGACUCAGUAUUUCUUAGGAAACCUGAAAGGAACCUCAAUGGAUAGACCUUAAAGAAUAAGCCUAUGUGGUUGCUCAUAUUUGUGGCAUUCUUUAUAAUAUAUAAGUUGUGGAAGAGGAUGGAGAUGGAUUCUAACUAUUCCUAUUGUCAUUUGAUGAAACAUUUACAUUGUUGGAGUCUGAGUACAGGAACAAAUAAAGCUGAAAAGUAAAUCAACAAAGGAAAGGCUAGCAAAUGAUUAUUCCCCCUGCACACACAUUGACUAACAAAGAUCAUUUCCUGAGGCAUGGGAGGAGUAAUCCAUAUUGUUCCUGAAUAAAGGGUAAGAGAAAGACUUCUAAUGUAAGAUUGAAAGAGUGAGAUAGUCAGUAACCAUCUGCCUUUAUGUAUUUGUGUUUUUAAGUUUAUUUUAAAGCAGUAAAAAUGUCAAGUGAAUUCUAAGCUAUUAGAUAAAUCGUCUUUUGUGGAUUUUUUUGAUGUAUUUCUUUUAUACUCACUCCUUUUCUUGGUCACUUAUUUAUAUUUAACAAUUCAAAACCAAUGUAUUCAAGACACUGUAUUAGGGACUAAGGAUAGGAUAGAAAAAUAAUAAUGCUUAUCUUCAAAUAGUUUGAAUUUUAUUGGGCUAUAGCAGGUAUUCAGUUAAGGAAGUCAGGUAUUUCAUUUGGGAAAAGAUACUAAAAACUAGAUGGAGUAGGAAAGACUUCCAUAAGAAAGGGGAACCUGACCUGAGUCUUAAGAGUAAGAUAAAAAAUUUGAGAAAGAGAAAUAAUGAAUUUAUCCUAGGAAAUGGGUUCUUUUGGUUUGAGUACUGAUAAAAUGUCAGCUUUUCCAAACAACUAGAAACUCAAUUUAGCUGGAAUAUAAUAUGUAAAAUAAGUCUGGACAGGUAGAUUGAACCCUCAGUAGAGGUCUUUAAAUUCUAGAUUAAAGAGACUCUUUUAUUCUCCUUGCUGAUUUUCAGGAAAAUCAAAUUAUCAUACCAAUAAAAUAUUUCUAUUAUCCUUGUUGAACAUGACUAGUAGCUUUAUAAUGACAAUUUUAAUGACCUACAAAAGGGUUGAUUCAUUAAAAAGGAAUCAACCAAAGGUAAUUAGGAUAAUUAAAUGCUAUCUUUUAAAAUUAAAACACAGAGGAGGAAAAUGUAUUUGCAAAACUGAAUUUGAACUGGAAAUUAGUCUAAUUACUGAUUCCAGGAAUAUAGUAUAAUACUUCUGACCUAUAAUUAUAGGUCAAUUCCUGUUCUCUGGUUUUACUACGUUAUCUGAUUUUCCACAGAGCAGACACAUGAUAUUUUCUACUUCAUUCAGGGAUAAAACAAUCACUUUGAGGCUGGAGAAAUUGUCACUUCUUAUAUUUGGCCAGCAUGAUGUGGCAUAGAAAAUGGCAUAUACCAUGUUGUGGCCACAGCAAUGAUAUCAGGUGUCCCUGUGGUAAAAGUCAAUACAAAUUUUUAUUGACUUCUCAAACAAAUUACUUGCCAGACAGUUUAGACCCAGGCCUCCCACAAGAGGAAGCGCAUAAUCCUUCUUAACCUGUAGUAAAGCAAUAGAUAUUUUAAAAAUGAAAGGAUAAGAAUCACAGAAAGGAGAUGUCAAGUUUGCAUGUGUAUAUGUGUGAUCUUAACUUGAAAUGAUUUUAAAAGAGUAAAAAUGUGAAAUGUAUUCAAAAUGAACCAUGGAUGAUGUAAAUAAAUAUGGAAUAUCAUUCUGAUGGCAUCUGGUAAUACUUGUUUUAGCAGACAAGAAAACAAAUGCAAAAUGUUGUAACACAAUUUUCUUUCAUU
This is a non-coding RNA of Monodelphis domestica (gray short-tailed opossum), 2218 nucleotides long. NCBI's taxonomy places the organism in Eukaryota, Metazoa, Chordata, Mammalia, Didelphimorphia, Didelphidae. The record is from RefSeq and is a predicted model, not a curated record.